GUCCUGGGGAGACAGCGGGAAUCGAACCCACAGUGUUCCGCUUACCGGGCAGAUGCCAUGUCCACUAGGCUACCCUGGA
Non-coding RNA from Cordylochernes scorpioides, 79 nucleotides. The record is from the annotation of a GenBank genome assembly. Lineage: Eukaryota; Metazoa; Arthropoda; Arachnida; Pseudoscorpiones; Chernetidae.